GGGCGUGGACCGACGCGG
Molecule: small nuclear RNA, 18 nt
Filed under: Arabidopsis thaliana (thale cress)
Lineage: Eukaryota; Viridiplantae; Streptophyta; Magnoliopsida; Brassicales; Brassicaceae
Description: snRNA_10414
Source: RNAcentral